GACGAACGCUGGCGGCGUGCUUAACACAUGCAAGUCGAACGGAAAGGCCCUGCUUUUGUGGGGUGCUCGAGUGGCGAACGGGUGAGUAACACGUGAGUAACCUGCCCUUGACUUUGGGAUAACUUCAGGAAACUGGGGCUAAUACCGGAUAGGAGCUCCUGCUGCAUGGUGGGGGUUGGAAAGUUUCGGCGGUUGGGGAUGGACUCGCGGCUUAUCAGCUUGUUGGUGGGGUAGUGGCUUACCAAGGCUUUGACGGGUAGCCGGCCUGAGAGGGUGACCGGCCACAUUGGGACUGAGAUACGGCCCAGACUCCUACGGGAGGCAGCAGGGGGGAAUAUUGCACAAUGGGCGGAAGCCUGAUGCAGCAACGCCGCGUGCGGGAUGACGGCCUUCGGGUUGUAAACCGCUGUCGCCUGUGACGAAGCGUGAGUGACGGUAAUGGGUAAAGAAGCACCGGCUAACUACGUG
Molecule: ribosomal RNA, 468 nt
Filed under: uncultured bacterium
Lineage: Bacteria
Description: partial 16S ribosomal RNA
Rfam family: Bacterial small subunit ribosomal RNA
Source: RNAcentral